AUGCUUACUUCUGACCACUGUGCACCAAUGGUGUUCGACAGGAAGCGCCUUUACGGCCGGAAGUCGAGCCCGCGGCGACCGGCCAACAAGGGUCCGUCCAGCCCAGCAGGCGGAAGAGGAGUGCGACGCGAACUGAAACGUCGCCGCAACGGUACGGAGCACCGCUAUUUUAAGGGGAGGAUUCCCAGGAGGUAUAUUAAUGCUCAUAACUUUUCCAGAAAGAGCGCUCGCCGGACAGUGUCCGGGGAGGUUGCCAAUAAAGCCUCCGCCAGCCAUGCUCCAACGCAUGGCCCGGAAGGGGAGGCGAAUAUAAGGCAUGAGUCAGACGCUCCUCCGACGGAGGAUGCCGACAGGCUGUCCGCCACCCGAUCUGAGGUGGAGAGCGCCAUGAAUCACAGGCGUCGCCGGACAGUUCUUCGUGACAUGUGUUUCUCCCCGGAGGCGUUAAAUGCCUUUGAUGCAGGAAACGCGCACCUCCGUGCCAUUCAAGAUGGGUUAACCAGAGCCACGGAGCAGUAUGUGAAAGACAUACAUGAUCUUACGGAGAAGAAUACCCACCUGUCCCAGGAGCUCCAAGAGUGCAAGGCCCAACUGGAGGCCGCACUGGCCGCCACAGGGGGAGCCACAGAGACCCCCGCUGAGGGCGCCGGACUAGAUCCGGACAAGCAACAGCUACUGCGUCAGCUAAAGGCUAGCGACAGGGUGCUUAUGAAGGUGCAGCAGGAGAGAAACAAGCUCCAAGAUGCCCACACCCAGCUAGGAGAAGAGCUGAAAGGUGUUCGGGCCAGCUGUCUGGCUCCUUGA
This 804-nucleotide ribosomal RNA is filed under the name Triticum aestivum (bread wheat). RNAcentral describes it as "partial small subunit ribosomal RNA". The record is from RNAcentral. Lineage: Eukaryota; Viridiplantae; Streptophyta; Magnoliopsida; Poales; Poaceae.